CCCUUAGAUGUUCUGGGCUGCACACGUGCUACACUGGCAGGUUCAGCGAGCUUCAUGCCCUGAUCUGAAAGGAAUGGGAAAUCUUUUCAAAACCUGCCGUGCUUGGGAUAGAUGUUUGCAAUUAUUCAUCUUCAACGAGGAUUGCCUUGUAAGCGCACGUCAUCAGCGUGCAUUGAAUACGACCCUGUAUUCUGUACACACCGCCCGUCGCUCCUACCGAUUGAAGUUUUCGGUGAGUUGACAGGAGGAUUUUUUUGAAACUGGUUCGCCAGUGGAUUUUAGAUCCAAAUGCCAACGAAUCGAUGGCUUUAGAGGAAGGAGAAGUCGUAGCA
Molecule: ribosomal RNA, 332 nt
Filed under: uncultured eukaryote
Lineage: Eukaryota
Description: partial 18S ribosomal RNA
Rfam family: Eukaryotic small subunit ribosomal RNA
Source: RNAcentral